This 434-nucleotide ribosomal RNA is filed under the name uncultured bacterium. RNAcentral's name for it is "bacterial SSU rRNA". It matches the Rfam family "Bacterial small subunit ribosomal RNA", at positions 30 to 470 of the family's 1533-position model. The record is from RNAcentral.
AUUGAACGCUGGCGGCAUGCCUUACACAUGCAAGUCGAACGGCAGCGCGGGGCAACCUGGCGGCGAGUGGCGAACGGGUGAGUAAUAUAUCGGAACAUACCCUAGAGUGGGGGAUAACGUAGCGAAAGUUACGCUAAUACCGCAUACGCACUAAGGUGGAAAGUGGGGGAUUCGCAAGAACCUCAUGCUCAUGGAGUGGCCGAUAUCUGAUUAGCUAGUUGGUGAGGUAAAGGCUCACCAAGGCGACGAUCAGUAGCUGGUUUGAGAGAACGACCAGCCACACUGGAACUGAGACACGGUCCAGACUCCUACGGGAGGCAGCAGUGGGGAAUUUUGGACAAUGGGGGCAACCCUGAUCCAGCAGUGCCGCGUGCAGGAAGAAGGCCUCGGUGUAACUAGCUUUGUUCUAGGGAAGGAAAGUACCUCUAGGUUAA